AACCGAAUAGGGAAGCCGUAGCGAAAGCGAGUCCGAAUAGGGCGAUUCAGUCGCUGGGUGUAGACCCGAAACCAGAUGAUCUAUCCAUGGCCAGGUUGAAGGCACGGUAACACGUGCUGGAGGACCGAACCCACUAAUGUUGAAAAAUUAGGGGAUGAGCUGUGGAUAGGGGUGAAAGGCUAAACAAAUCUGGAAAUAGCUGGUUCUCUCCGAAAACUAUUUAGGUAGUGCCUCAAGUAUUACUGCGGGGGGUAGAGCACUGUUAUAGCUAGGGGGUCAUGGCGACUUACCAAACUAUGGCAAACUCCGAAUACCCGCAAGUACAGCUUGGGAGACAGAGCACCGGGUGCUAACGUCCGGACUCAAGAGGGAAACAACCCAGACCGCCAGCUAAGGUCCCAAAGUCAUGGUUAAGUGGGAAACGAUGUGGGAAGGCAUAGACAGCCAGGA
RNAcentral lists this non-coding RNA (450 nucleotides) under Lysobacter defluvii IMMIB APB-9 = DSM 18482. RNAcentral's name for it is "Bacterial large subunit ribosomal RNA". It matches the Rfam family "Bacterial large subunit ribosomal RNA", at positions 648 to 1098 of the family's 2925-position model. The record is from Rfam by way of RNAcentral. Lineage: Bacteria; Pseudomonadati; Pseudomonadota; Gammaproteobacteria; Lysobacterales; Lysobacteraceae.